Small nuclear RNA from Salvia splendens (bonfire salvia), 103 nucleotides. The record is from RefSeq and is a predicted model, not a curated record. NCBI's taxonomy places the organism in Eukaryota, Viridiplantae, Streptophyta, Magnoliopsida, Lamiales, Lamiaceae.
GUCCAUUCGGGGAUAUUCAAUAAAAUUGGAACGAUACAGAGAAGAUUAGCAUGACCCAUGCGCAAGAAUGACACACAUAAAUCGAGAAAUGGCCUUAAGAAAA